AGUCGAACGGCAGCAUAGGUGCUUGCACCUGAUGGCGAGUGGCGAACGGGUGAGUAAUGCAUCGGAACGUGCCCAGUCGUGGGGGAUAACGCAGCGAAAGCUGUGCUAAUACCGCAUACGAUCUAUGGAUGAAAGCGGGGGACCUUCGGGCCUCGCGCGAUUGGAGCGGCCGAUGUUAGAUUAGGUAGUUGGUGAGGUAAAGGCUCACCAAGCCUACGAUCUAUAGCUGGUCUGAGAGGACGACCAGCCACACUGGAACUGAGACACGGUCCAGACUCCUACGGGAGGCAGCAGUGGGGAAUUUUGGACAAUGGGCGAAAGCCUGAUCCAGCAAUACCGCGUGCAGGAAGAAGGCCUUCGGGUUGUAAACUGCUUUUGUACGGAACGAAACGGUCUGGAUUAAUACUCUGGGCUAAUGACGGUACCGUAAGAAUAAGCACCGGCUAACUACGUGCCAGCAGCCGCGGUAAUACGUAGGGUGCAAGCGUUAAUCGGAAUUACUGGGCGUAAAGCGUGCGCAGGCGGUUUUGUAAGACAGGCGUGAAAUCCCCGGGCUCAACCUGGGAAUUGCGCUUGUGACUGCAAGGCUAGAGUACGGUAGAGGGGGGUAGAAUUCCGCGUGUAGCAGUGAAAUGCGUAGAUAUGCGGAGGAACACCGAUGGCGAAGGCAGCCCUCUGGACCUGUACUGACGCUCAUGCACGAAAGCGUGGGGAGCAAACAGGAUUAGAUACCCUGGUAGUCCACGCCCUAAACGAUGUCAACUGGUUGUUGGGAAUUUACUUUCUCAGUAACGAAGCUAACGCGUGAAGUUGACCGCCUGGGGAGUAC
RNAcentral lists this ribosomal RNA (829 nucleotides) under uncultured beta proteobacterium. RNAcentral describes it as "bacterial SSU rRNA". It matches the Rfam family "Bacterial small subunit ribosomal RNA", at positions 60 to 883 of the family's 1533-position model. The record is from RNAcentral. Lineage: Bacteria; Pseudomonadati; Pseudomonadota; Betaproteobacteria.